RNAcentral lists this ribosomal RNA (484 nucleotides) under uncultured bacterium. Its description in RNAcentral is "partial 16S ribosomal RNA". It matches the Rfam family "Bacterial small subunit ribosomal RNA", at positions 30 to 507 of the family's 1533-position model. The record is from RNAcentral.
AUUGAACGCUGGCGGCAGGCCUAACACAUGCAAGUCGAGCGGAUGAAGGGAGCUUGCUCCUGGAUUCAGCGGCGGACGGGUGAGUAAUGCCUAGGAAUCUGCCUGUUAGUGUGGGAUAACGUCCGGAAACGGGCGCUAAUACCGCAUACGUCCUGAGGGAGAAAGUGUGGGAGCUUCGGACCUCACGCUAUCAGAUGAGCCUAGGUCGGAUUAGCUAGUUGGUGGGGUAAAGGCCUACCAAGGCGACGAUCCGUAACUGGUCUGAGAGGAUGAUCAGUCACACUGGAACUGAGACACGGUCCAGACUCCUACGGGAGGCAGCAGUGGGGAAUAUUGGACAAUGGGCGAAAGCCUGAUCCAGCCAUGCCGCGUGUGUGAAGAAGGUCUUCGGAUUGUAAAGCACUUUAAGUUGGGAGGAAGGGCAGUAAGUUAAUACCUCGCUGUUUUGACGUUACCAACAGAAUAAGCACCGGCUAACUUCGUG